Molecule: ribosomal RNA, 570 nt
Filed under: uncultured bacterium
Lineage: Bacteria
Description: partial 16S ribosomal RNA
Rfam family: Bacterial small subunit ribosomal RNA
Source: RNAcentral
UGGGGAAUAUUGCACAAUGGGCGCAAGCCUGAUGCAGCCAUGCCGCGUGUGUGAAGAAGGCCUUCGGGUUGUAAAGCACUUUCAGCGAGGAGGAAGGUGGUGAAGCUUAAUACGCUCAUCAAUUGACGUUACUCGCAGAAGAAGCACCGGCUAACUCCGUGCCAGCAGCCGCGGUAAUACGGAGGGUGCAAGCGUUAAUCGGAAUUACUGGGCGUAAAGCGCACGCAGGCGGUUUGUUAAGUCAGAUGUGAAAUCCCCGGGCUCAACCUGGGAACUGCAUUUGAAACUGGCAAGCUAGAGUCUCGUAGAGGGGGGUAGAAUUCCAGGUGUAGCGGUGAAAUGCGUAGAGAUCUGGAGGAAUACCGGUGGCGAAGGCGGCCCCCUGGACGAAGACUGACGCUCAGGUGCGAAAGCGUGGGGAGCAAAACAGGAUUAGAUACCCUGGUAGUCCACGCUGUAAACGAUGUCGAUUUUGGAGGUUGUGCCCUUGAGGCGUGGCUUCCGGAGCUAACGCGUUAAAUCGACCGCCUGGGGAGUACGGCCGCAAGGUUAAAACUCAAAUGAAUUGAC